This 466-nucleotide ribosomal RNA is filed under the name uncultured bacterium. RNAcentral describes it as "partial 16S ribosomal RNA". It matches the Rfam family "Bacterial small subunit ribosomal RNA", at positions 28 to 507 of the family's 1533-position model. The record is from RNAcentral.
GAUGAACGCUGGCGGCGUGCUUAACACAUGCAAGUCGAACGAUGAAGCCCAGCUUUCUGGGUGGAUUAGUGGCGAACGGGUGAGUAACACGUGAGUAACCUGCCCUUGACUCUGGGAUAAGCCUGGGAAACUGGGUCUAAUACUGGAUAUGACUUCUCAUCGCAUGGUGGGGGGUGGAAAGAUUUAUUGGUCUUGGAUGGACUCGCGGCCUAUCAGCUUGUUGGUGAGGUAAUGGCUCACUAAGGCGACGACGGGUAGCCGGCCUGAGAGGGUGACCGGCCACACUGGGACUGAGACACGGACCAGACUCCUACGGGAGGCAGCAGUGGGGAAUAUUGCACAAUGGGCGCAAGCCUGAUGCAGCGACGCCGCGUGAGGGAUGACGGCCUUCGGGUUGUAAACCUCUUUCAGUAGGGAAGAAGCGAGAGUGACGGUACCUGCAGAAGAAGCGCCGGCUAACUACGUG